Molecule: long non-coding RNA, 2179 nt
Organism: Oryza brachyantha (malo sina)
Lineage: Eukaryota; Viridiplantae; Streptophyta; Magnoliopsida; Poales; Poaceae
Exons: 4
Source: RefSeq, a predicted model, not a curated record
AGGUAGGAAGAAGGAAGUAUAAGCCGUAGUAAGCAGUAACCACCCGCAUUGGUGUACACGUCUCCAUCCGUCUCUUUCCCCUCCUCCCUUCCCUUGCCAGCCCAAACUCCACCCAAUCUGCAGCUAAUCAUCCAUAAACUACUCUAUCUCCCAAUUAGAAAAAGGAAAGAAAUCAUCGAGAAAUCGCCCAUGGCGAAAGAAGAAGAAAAAAAAAUCUUACAGAAAAAAAAAUUAGGGGAAAAGCAGAGAGCAACUUGGGUUGAUUUCAGAUGAGGACUACAAGUUGGAUGUACCAAUUUGAUGGUAUUGCAAAUCUUUCUUGAGAUGGGGAACGGCCUGUUUAUUGAUUUCGAGAUUGUAUACACCAAAGGUCAGGAAUAUUGCGCAAUACAGUCACCCUUAAGAAUGAAGUAUGAAAUCUGAGCCAGUGAACCUGUUUACUGUUUAUUCCUUUCUAGUUCCACUUCCAUUGUUUAUUUAGAACCAUAGGAUUAUGGGGUAUAAAACAGAAAAGCUUCUUAUUUAGUUUGAUCGUGGUCAUUGGUUCCUUCCUUCUAUGAAGUACUAAUGUUCGAUGUUCUUGUGCCAAUGUAAACUUCCAUAUAUCUUCACCCAUUCUUGUGUGCAAAAGGUACUCCAUAGAUCUGCAGCCACUGCUUUGUGUGAAGGCACAUGCUUUGGUGGUAGUCAAGACUCAAGAAGCCCUAUAGAAUCUUUAUCAUCAAUUGUUUAUUUUCUUGCGCAUAUUCUAACACCCUUGUCUUUUCGCUUCUAAUUAUGCUUAUAAGCCAAAUUUUGAUUUUUCAAUCAUAAAUUUAGAGUUGAUUUUGGGGGUUUGUCAUCGUAAUUUAGUUUUCAUCCUUUGCUUUUAGAUUGCCAAGAACACAUAUAUAAUUUUUUUUAUUCAUAAAUUAUUUUUUAUUUGUAAAUAUGCCGUUACAGUGACCCCUAAGUAUUUUGAGAGAUGAGAUGGCUUCACUUUUUUAAGUUAGUUUUUAUUAUUCAUACUUUGUCUUGCUCAAGUCACAUAAGAUAGUUCAGGUGGAUAAGGUUUGGCUUCAAUUAUCCAGUAUUGCUUAACGUGCUCUAUUCUUUUCCUACAAGGUGAUGCUUGUUUUUUAUUUCAGUUCUCACCGCAAUCACCACCCUUUGUUUUCAUGGGGAGUGGAGUGGACCUUUUUAUCAUUUAUCUUUAAUACUUGGAAAGAAACUUCAUUGCCAAAUUAUUUAGUGUCUUCUGUGAAGAAUGUAGUUGAAUUAUUGCUUUGUUGUCUAUUAUACAACCUGUAUGUUCUUAUUUGGCUCAUGACACCUAUUGGGAUGCAGCGAUCAUUCAGUUUAAGAGUGGUAAAGAACACAAUAGUGUUUAUGUAUUAUUUUUUUUGCUCGGCCUGUAGCAUGAUGAUGUAUACUAGUAUCAAUUUGGGUGCUUUGGAACAGUGGUGUUUCUUUGUAUAGAUCUUGACAUUUUAACGCUGCCUUGCACCAAACUUUAUUGGCUCUACCAAAAGUUGGUUUAUUUGGGAGAUUCAUGGCAAGCGUUUUGUUUCCUCUUUGGUAUUUGCACUCAGGGUUUUUUAUGACGAAAACACCAGGAGAGAUUCAUGUGGAUAGAAAUCAGACUGCAGGCUUCAUAUCGCUUGCUUUCAUCAUGUGUGCCCUUCUGUAAGGUCGGAGAUUUUCCGUUUCGAGUAUAUUAACUUCCAAGUUCGCAUGAUUAUGAAUGGGGACGCAAUGACGUUGUUAUUUUGCGAAUCCUGGAGCAUAUUUCUGUUGGCCAAUAUGCAUGCACAAAAUGAUAUUAUCCAUUAACUUGGCAAGAGAAGACAAAAGCAUCACGAAAGUUAGCACCACAUGUGGAUAUUUUACAUGGUCAGGAUGUUAAAUUUUCUACAAAACAGCAUUCGCAUUCUCCAAGAUAAAUAUAAAAUAGGCCUAGAGCUAAUUUCAGAACAGGUUUCAGUGGUAUGAUUUUACAACAGGCAGUGCUCUGAUCUGAUCAAAUUCUGUAUGCAUGUUCCAGCAAAUGUUUACACGGCAUCAGCGCCUCCAACCAUGUGACCACCAUCAACAGCCAUAGCGUCUGCAUGGUUUGCUUGAUGCUGGUUCCCAGCAUAUGGCGCGUUCCUUCGCACGCGAUUGUGCUCAUCUGCUUUCAACAAAAGAAAAGAGCAUGUCA